This is a non-coding RNA of Podarcis lilfordi (Lilford's wall lizard), 80 nucleotides long. NCBI's taxonomy places the organism in Eukaryota, Metazoa, Chordata, Lepidosauria, Squamata, Lacertidae. The record is from the annotation of a GenBank genome assembly.
GGCUGUAGCUCAUUGGUAGAGCAUCUGCCUUGGGUGCAGGAGGUCCCAGGUUCAAUCCCCACCAAGUCCAGGUAGGGUUA